AUAUCAUAAGCGGGGAGAAGAAACUAAAAAGGAUUCCCCUAGUAACUGCGAGUGAAGCGGGAAAAGCUCAAAUUUAAAAUCUGGCGGUCUCCGGCCGUCCGAGUUGUAAUCUAGAGAAGUGUUAUCCGCGCUGGACCGUGUACAAGUCUCCUGGAAUGGAGCGUCAUAGAGGGUGAGAAUCCCGUCUUUGACACGGACUGCCAGGGCUUUGUGAUGCGCUCUCAAAGAGUCGAGUUGUUUGGGAAUGCAGCUCAAAAUGGGUGGUAAAUUCCAUCUAAAGCUAAAUAUUGGCGAGAGACCGAUAGCGAACAAGUACCGUGAGGGAAAGAUGAAAAGAACUUUGGAAAGAGAGUUAAACAGUACGUGAAAUUGCUGAAAGGGAAACGCUUGAAGUCAGUCGCGUUGGCCGGGGAUCAACCUUGCUUUUGCUGGGCGUACUUUCCGGUUGACGGGUCAGCAUCAAUUUUGACCGUUGGAUAAAGUCCAGGGGAAUGUGGCAUCUUCGGAUGUGUUAUAGCCCUUGGUCGCAUACAACGGUUGGGAUUGAGGAACUCAGCACGCCGCAAGGCCGGGUACUUGUACCACGUUCGUGCUUAGGAUGCUGGCAUAAUGACUUUAAUCGACCCGUCUUGAAACACGGACCAAGGAGUCUAACAUGCCUGCGAGUGUUUGGGUGGAAAACUCGGACGCGUAAUGAAAGUGAAAGUUGAGAUCCCUGUCGCGGGGAGCAUCGACGCCCGGACCAGACCUUUUGUGACGGAUCCGCGGUAGAGCAUGUAUGUUGGGACCCGAAAGAUGGUGAACUAUGCCUGAAUAGGGUGAAGCCAGAGGAAACUCUGGUGGAGGCUCGUAGCGAUUCUGACGUGCAAAUCGAUCGUCAAAUUUGGGUAUAGGGGCGAAAGACUAAUCGAACCAUCUAGUAGCU
RNAcentral lists this ribosomal RNA (925 nucleotides) under Hebeloma velutipes. RNAcentral describes it as "partial large subunit ribosomal RNA". It matches the Rfam family "Eukaryotic large subunit ribosomal RNA", at positions 40 to 952 of the family's 3401-position model. The record is from RNAcentral. Lineage: Eukaryota; Fungi; Basidiomycota; Agaricomycetes; Agaricales; Hymenogastraceae.